GAAAGGGGACACCUAAAGCUCAAAAGCCCGGGGCACCAUUGACAUGGACUACCAAGUGCCAAAAUGCAUUUGAAACACUCAAACCCCUAUUCCCGGCUGAGCCAGUUCUCAAACACCCAGACCCUGACCGGCCCUUUGUAAUUCAAGCUGAUGCCUCAGACACAGCAAUAGGAGCAGUGCUGCUCCAAAAUGAAAAAGGGGGGCCCCUCAAGCCCUGCGCUUAUAUCUCUCGUAAAUUCACAGAAACAGAAAGGUGUUGGCUGGUAUGGGAAAAAGAAGCCUUCGCAGUUCGCUGGGCUCUAUUAACUUGGCGACACCUCCUGGAAGGAUCGCCUCACCCUUUUGAGAUUUUAUUUCGAAUGUGAUGACAUUCAUCUUGUUGGAGAGCAGCAUGUCAGGAUCUGCGCAAGCAACUACUGAAAGGCUAUUAGAAAGUCAUCAUAAAAUUUACAAUGUAGACAAAUAGCUAGUAGGUUAGAAUGUUAGUUAAGACAAGAACCAUGAUUUGUAUUCCCGCUUGCCGGUUCCUGCCAUAAAAGUCAGAGGGAGGGAGAAUAAUAAAACAAGACGGGCCAGGUGCACCGUGAUCUCGGCGAGAGGCGCCGGCAAGGUCGGACGGCCGCGGGACCCGGGAAGAGGCGCGAAGAAUUCAAGCGGGAAAAGUAGACUAGAGGGGGGUUAAAAGGAGAGCCCUGGCCGGGGAGGGUCAGUCUCAGCAAUCUCUGGAAUGCUGUAUGCUGCUUCUCAAUAAAGAAAUCUUGGCUGGAAACAAA
Python bivittatus (Burmese python) is the source of this 773-nucleotide non-coding RNA. The record is from RefSeq and is a predicted model, not a curated record. Lineage: Eukaryota; Metazoa; Chordata; Lepidosauria; Squamata; Pythonidae.